Molecule: ribosomal RNA, 460 nt
Filed under: uncultured bacterium
Lineage: Bacteria
Description: partial 16S ribosomal RNA
Rfam family: Bacterial small subunit ribosomal RNA
Source: RNAcentral
CCUACGGGAGGCAGCAGUGAGGAAUAUUGGUCAAUGGACGAGAGUCUGAACCAGCCAAGUAGCGUGAAGGAUGACUGCCCUAUGGGUUGUAAACUUCUUUUAUAUGGGAAUAAAAUGUUCCACGUGUGGGAUUUUGUAUGUACCAUAUGAAUAAGGAUCGGCUAACUCCGUGCCAGCAGCCGCGGUAAUACGGAGGAUCCGAGCGUUAUCCGGAUUUAUUUGGUUUAAAGGGAGCGUAGGUGGAUUGUUAAGUCAGUUGUGAAAGUUUGCGGCUCAACCGUAAAAUUGGAGUUGAAACUGGCAGUCUUGAGUACAGUAGAGGUGGGCGGAAUUCGUGGUGUAGCGGUGAAAUGCUUAGAUAUCACGAAGAACUCCGAUUGCGAAGGCAGCUCACUGGACUGCAACUGACACUGAGGCUCGAAAGUGUGGGUAUCAAACAGGAUUAGAUACCCUAGUAGUC